RNAcentral lists this ribosomal RNA (460 nucleotides) under uncultured bacterium. Its description in RNAcentral is "partial 16S ribosomal RNA". It matches the Rfam family "Bacterial small subunit ribosomal RNA", at positions 338 to 795 of the family's 1533-position model. The record is from RNAcentral.
CCUACGGGAGGCAGCAGUGAGGAAUAUUGGUCAAUGGACGAGAGUCUGAACCAGCCACGCAGCGUGAAGGAAGACUGAUCUAUGGGUUGUAAGCUUCAUUUAUAUGGGAAGAAAACAGGGCAUGAAUACCCUCAUGUAUGCACCAUAUGAAUAAGGAACGGCUAACUACGUGCCAUCAGCUGCGGUAAUACGGAGGAUCUGAGCGUUAUCCGGAUUGAUUGGGUUUAAAGGGAGCGUAGAUGGGUUGUUAAGUCAGUUGUGAAAGGUUGCGGCUCAACCGUAAGAUUGCAGUUGAAACUGGAAGGCUGGAGUACAGUAGAGGUAAGCGGAAUUCGUGGUGUAGCGGUGAAAUGCUUAGAUAUCACGAGGAACUCCAGUUGCGAAGGCGGCUCACUGGACUGCAACUGACACUGAGGCUCGAAAGUGUGGGUAGCAAACAGGAUUAGAUACCCGGGUAGUC